UGCAUGAAUGGAUGUAAGUCGCUUUGGAUAAAAGUUUCUGCUAAAUGGCAUAUA
This is a non-coding RNA of Salmo salar (Atlantic salmon), 54 nucleotides long. Lineage: Eukaryota; Metazoa; Chordata; Actinopteri; Salmoniformes; Salmonidae. The record is from Rfam.